UACGUAGGGGGCAAGCGUUGUCCGGAAUGACUGGGCGUAAAGGGAGCGUAGGCGGUCUGUUAAGUUGGAAGUGAAAUCCCGGGGCUCAACCCCGGAACUGCUUUCAAGACUGACGGACUUGAGUGUAAGAGGGGUAAGCGGAAUUCCUAGUGUAGCGGUGGAAUGCGUAGAUAUAUGGAAGAACACCAGUGGCGAAGGCGGCUCUCUGGUCUGCAACUGACGCUGAGGCUCGAAAGCAUGGGUAGCGAACAGG
This 253-nucleotide ribosomal RNA is filed under the name uncultured Eubacteriales bacterium. RNAcentral's name for it is "uncultured Clostridiales bacterium partial 16S ribosomal RNA". It matches the Rfam family "Bacterial small subunit ribosomal RNA", at positions 524 to 776 of the family's 1533-position model. Lineage: Bacteria; Bacillati; Bacillota; Clostridia; Eubacteriales. The record is from RNAcentral.